UACGUAGGGACCAAGCGUUGUUCGGAUUUACUGGGCGUAAAGAGCGCGCAGGCGGUUGUGCAAGUCGCGUGUGAAAGCCCCCGGCUCAACUGGGGAGGGUCACGCGAUACUGUUCGACUUGAAGGCAGGAGAGGGAAGUGGAAUUCCCGGUGUAGUGGUGAAAUGCGUAGAUAUCAAGAGGAACACCUGAGGUGAAGACGGGUUGCUGGGCUGACACUGACGCUGAGGCGCGAAAGCCAGGGGAGCAAACGGG
Molecule: ribosomal RNA, 253 nt
Filed under: uncultured bacterium
Lineage: Bacteria
Description: partial 16S ribosomal RNA
Rfam family: Bacterial small subunit ribosomal RNA
Source: RNAcentral